Molecule: ribosomal RNA, 253 nt
Filed under: uncultured bacterium
Lineage: Bacteria
Description: partial 16S ribosomal RNA
Rfam family: Bacterial small subunit ribosomal RNA
Source: RNAcentral
UACAGAGGGUGCGAGCGUUAAUCGGAAUUACUGGGCGUAAAGCGUGCGCAGGCGGUUUUGUAAGCCAGAUGUGAAAGCCCCGGGCUCAACCUGGGAAUGGCAUUUGGGACUGCAAGGCUGGAGUAUGGCAGAGGAGACUAGAAUUCCUGGUGUAGCAGUGAAAUGCGUAGAUAUCAGGAGGAAUACCGAUGGCGAAGGCAGGUCUCUGGGCCAAUACUGACGCUCAUGCACGAAAGCGUGGGGAGCAAACAGG